GUGUCGUGGUUAGCGGAAGUGGCCUGGGAUGGUCUGCCGUAGACGGUGAGAGCCCGGUACGCGAAAACCCGGCACCUGCCUAGUAUCAAUUCCCGAGUAGCAGCGGGCCCGUGGAAUCCGCUGUGAAUCCGCCGGGACCACCCGGUAAGCCUAAAUACUCCUCGAUGACCGAUAGCGGAUUAGUACCGUGAGGGAAUGGUGAAAAGUACCCCGGGAGGGGAGUGAAAGAGUACCUGAAACCGUGUGCCUACAAUCCGUCAGAGCCUCCUUUUCCUCUCCGGAGGAGGGUGGUGAUGGCGUGCCUUUUGAAGAAUGAGCCUGCGAGUCAGGGACAUGUCGCAAGGUUAACCCGUGUGGGGUAGCCGCAGCGAAAGCGAGUCUGAAUAGGGCGACCCACACGCGCAUACGCGCGUGUGAAUAGUGGCGUGUUCUGGACCCGAAGCGGAGUGAUCUACCCAUGGCCAGGGUGAAGCGCGGGUAAGACCGCGUGGAGGCCCGAACCCACUUAGGUUGAAGACUGAGGGGAUGAGCUGUGGGUAGGGGUGAAAGGCCAAUCAAACUCCGUGAUAGCUGGUUCUCCCCGAAAUGCAUUUAGGUGCAGCGUUGCGUGGUUCACCGCGGAGGUAGAGCUACUGGAUGGCCGAUGGGCCCUACUAGGUUACUGACGUCAGCCAAACUCCGAAUGCCGUGGUGUAAAGCGUGGCAGUGAGACGGCGGGGGAUAAGCUCCGUACGUCGAAAGGGAAACAGCCCAGAUCGCCGGCUAAGGCCCCCAAGCGUGUGCUAAGUGGGAAAGGAUGUGCAGUCGCAAAGACAACCAGGAGGUUGGCUUAGAAGCAGCCACCCUUGAAAGAGUGCGUAAUAGCUCACUGGUCAAGUGAUUGUGCGCCGAUAAUGUAGCGGGGCUCAAGCACACCGCCGAAGCCGCGGCACAUCCACCUUGUGGUGGGUGUGGGUAGGGGAGCGUCCCUCAUUCAGCGAAGCCACCGGGUGACCGGUGGUGGAGGGUGGGGGAGUGAGAAUGCAGGCAUGAGUAGCGACAAGGCAAGUGAGAACCUUGCCCGCCGAAAGACCAAGGGUUCCUGGGCCAGGCCAGUCCGCCCAGGGUGAGUCGGGACCUAAGGCGAGGCCGACAGGCGUAGUCGAUGGACAACGGGUUGAUAUUCCCGUACCCGUGUGUGGGCGCCCGUGACGAAUCAGCGGUACUAACCACCCAAAACCGGAUCGAUCACUCCCCUUCGGGGGUGUGGAGUUCUGGGGCUGCGUGGGAACUUCGCUGGUAGUAGUCAAGCGAAGGGGUGACGCAGGAAGGUAGCCGUACCAGUCAGUGGUAACACUGGGGCAAGCCGGUAGGGAGAGCGAUAGGCAAAUCCGUCGCUCACUAAUCCUGAGAGGUGACGCAUAGCCGGUUGAGGCGAAUUCGGUGAUCCUCUGCUGCCAAGAAAAGCCUCUAGCGAGCACACACACGGCCCGUACCCCAAACCGACACAGGUGGUCAGGUAGAGCAUACCAAGGCGUACGAGAUAACUAUGGUUAAGGAACUCGGCAAAAUGCCCCCGUAACUUCGGGAGAAGGGGGACCGGAAUAUCGUGAACACCCUUGCGGUGGGAGCGGGAUCCGGUCGCAGAAACCAGUGAGGAGCGACUGUUUACUAAAAACACAGGUCCGUGCGA
Molecule: ribosomal RNA, 1672 nt
Filed under: Mycobacterium tuberculosis
Lineage: Bacteria; Bacillati; Actinomycetota; Actinomycetes; Mycobacteriales; Mycobacteriaceae
Description: bacterial LSU rRNA
Rfam family: Bacterial large subunit ribosomal RNA
Source: RNAcentral